GGCCGCCAUUUUUGGAAGGGUGGGAGGAGGAAGGCGGGGAGGCGCGGCGCCGGCUCCGCGGGAUGCUGACUGGACUUGGAGGCUAGAGGUAGUACGCCGGGGCCAGGGCGGCACGGUUGGCCGGCGCCCUUCCUCCGGGUGCUCCUGCGGAAUGAGGCUUCGGCGCCCGCGCGGGACGACGCGCUUCCUCCUCAGAGCGAAUCCUAGGAGAGGCCGAAGCCGCCGCGAUGCCGGGGAAGCUGAAGGUGAAAAUCGUGGCCGGUCGCCAUUUGCCGGUGAUGGACCGUGCCAGCGACCUGACGGAUGCCUUCGUGGAGGUAAAAUUUGGUAAUACAACCUUUAAGACAGAUGUGUACCUCAAGUCACUCAAUCCUCAGUGGAACUCGGAGUGGUUUAAAUUUGAGGUGGAUGAUGAAGAUUUACAAGAUGAACCUCUGCAGAUCACAGUUCUUGACCACGAUACUUACAGUGCAAACGAUGCUAUUGGCAAGGUGUACAUUGACAUCGAUCCUUUACUGUAUAGUGAAGCUGCAACAGUCAUCUCAGGGUGGUUCCCAAUUUAUGACACCAUACAUGGUAUCCGUGGAGAAAUCAAUGUGGUUGUCAAAGUAGACCUCUUCAAUGAUUUAAACAGAUUUAGACAGUCAUCAUGUGGAGUCAAAUUCUUUUGCACAACAUCUAUUCCAAAGUGCUACAGAGCUGUGGUGAUCCAUGGAUUUGUAGAAGAACUUGUGGUCAAUGAAGACCCUGAAUAUCAAUGGAUUGAUCGUAUUCGCACACCAAGGGCAUCAAAUGAGGCCAGACAGAGACUUAUUUCUUUAAUGUCAGGUGAAUUACAGAGAAAGAUUGGCUUGAAAGUACUUGAGAUGAGAGGAAAUGCAGUUGUUGGGUACUUGCAGUGUUUUGAUCUGGAAGGCGAGUCUGGGUUAGUGGUACGAGCCAUAGGAACAGCGUGUACUCUGGAUAAAUUAAGUAGCCCAGCAGCAUUCCUUCCUGCAUGUAAUUCCCCAUCCAAAGAAAUGAAGGAGAUUCCCUUCAAUGAAGAUCCCAAUCCCAAUCCUCACUCAUCAGGACCCUCAACCCCUCUGAAAAACCAAACUUAUUCCUUUUCACCUUCCAAGUCCUACAGUCGACAGUCCUCUUCUUCUGACACAGACUUGAGUUUGACACCCAAGACUGCACCUUACCCACAGGGGCCUGGGAUCUACCUGUGCCCCAGCUCCACCCCCCUCUCUUGUGGUUCCCUUCACCUUAAGUCCCGCCUCCUCUCGGAAUCUAGCCUUACCCCUCAUCACUCUAGCCUUGUCAGCCCCGUUCUGAGGAAAAGUGUUUCUUUCAGUGAAGAGCUGUUCCUGGCUGCUUCUGGAAUGGGAAGUGGUAGUGCUGGAAAAGAAGGGGGGCCCUUUAAAGCUCUUCUGCGACAACAGACUCAGUCGGCGUUGGAACAGCGGGGAGGAUCGCCUCAUAGGUUCUGUAGAAGGCGGGAAUUCCCCUUCCUCACCUUGACGGCCUUUCCUCCUGGACUCCUCGUGCAUGUCGGUGGUGUGGUUAGUGCACGCUCUGUGAAGCUUUUAGAUCGGAUCCACAAUCCUGCCUUUGUCGGAAUUAUGGGUAACACAAGAUCUUACAAACUGCUAGACUGGAAUAGUUUCAAUUCAGAUGAACCAGAAACUCGAGAUGCAUGGUGGGCAGAAAUCAGACAAGAGAUAAAGUCACAUGCUAAAGCCUUAGGCUGCCAUGCUGUAGUGGGCUACAGCGAGUCAACUAGCAUCUGUGAAGAAGUCUGUAUUUUAUCGGCAUCUGGCACGGCAGCUGUACUGAACCCGCGGUUUCUGCAGGAAGGCACUGUGGAGGGCUCUUUGGAUCAGAGGAUUGAAGAAAAUUUGCCUGUGGGCUGUGGAUUCUGCCAUAUACCAUAUGAUGAACUAAACAUGCCGUUUCCAGCUCAUCUCACAUAUUGUUACAACUGCAGGAAACAAAAAGUUCCUGAUGUUCUCUUUACAACAAUAGACCUGCCCACUGAUGCAGUCGUUGUUGGAAAAGGUUGUCUUAUUCAGGCAAGGUUAUGUCGCUUAAAAAAGAAAGCCCAGGCAGAAGCCAAUGCUACAGCUAUCAGUAAUCUCCUGCCAUUUAUGGAGUAUGAAGUCCACACUCAGUUGAUGAACAAGCUUAAACUCAAAGGAAUGAAUGCUUUGUUUGGACUAAGAAUUCAGAUCACAGUGGGUGAAAACAUGUUGAUGGGCUUAGCGUCGGCCACAGGGGUCUACUUAGCAGCUUUACCAACACCCGGUGGUAUCCAGAUUGCUGGGAAGACCCCUAAUGAUGGCUCCUAUGAACAGCACAUCUCUCACAUGCAGAAGAAAAUAAAUGACACGAUCGCCAGAAACAAAGAACUGUAUGAAAUCAAUCCUCCGGAGGUACCUGAAGAGAUUCUAGGGUCACCCAUCCCAGAACCUAGACAGCGCUCAAGACUUUUAAGAUCGCAGUCAGAAAGUUCUGAUGAAGUUACAGAAUUAGACCUUUCACAUGGGAAAAAAGAUGCAUUUGUUUUAGAGAUCGAUGACACUGAUGCCAUGGAAGAUGUGCACUCCCUCCUUACUGAUGUUCCCCCUCCUUCAGGUUUUUAUAGUUGUAAUACAGAAAUUAUGCCUGGCAUAAAUAAUUGGACAUCAGAAAUACAGAUGUUCACAUCAGUAAGAGUGGUCAGACUGAGCAGCCUCAACCUGACUAACCAAGCUCUCAAUAAGAACUUCAACGGCCUGUGUGAGAACUUGCUCAAGAGCUUAUAUUUCAAACUCCGGUCCAUGACCCCCUGCUGCCUGUGCCAUGUGAACUUUACAGUGUCUCUGCCUGAAGACGAGUUAAUCCAGGUUACAGUCACAGCAGUUGCAAUAACUUUUGAUAAAAACCAGGCCUUACAGACCACAAAAGCCCAUGUCGAAAAGUCACUGCAGAGAGCCUCCACAGAUAAUGAAGAGCUGCUGCAGUUCCCUCUGGAGCUCUGCUCAGACUCACUGCCUUCUCAUGCUUUCCCAGCGACUAAAGAACACCUGGAGAGUGCGAGUUCUAACUCAGGUACACCAGCUGCACAGAGAGCAACGUCAGUUGAUUACAGUUCCUUUGCAGACAGAUGCAGCAGCUGGAUAGAGCUCAUUAAACUGAAAGCUCAGACCAUAAGGCGCGGAUCAAUUAAGACAACUGUGACGGUUGAGAAAGCAAGUCCCAUGGGUGAUGGAAAUUUCCGGAAUCGCUCUGCUCCACCUUGUGCAAGUUCCACAGUCGGAGUUGUUAAGAUGACGCCUCUUUCUUUCAUUCCUGGAGCAAAGAUAACAAAAUAUCUCGGCAUCAUUAACAUGUUUUUUAUUAGAGAAACUACUUCUCUCCGUGAGGAAGGAGGAGUCAGUGGCUUCCUCCAUGCUUUCAUUGCUGAAGUGUUUGCCAUGGUAAGAGCUCAUGUUGCUGCACUGGGAGGGAAUGCUGUUGUUUCCUACAUUAUGAAGCAGUGUGUCUUCAUGGAGAAUCCAAGUAAGAACCAGGGCAUCGAAGGGGUGCUAGUGAGAGCAGUGUCACCAUCCCCACAGAGGCUGAACAAGCCAGAUGCCUUGAUUUCAGUAUCUGCAAUCCAUGGAGGAAAUUCUUUCAUUUCCAGUUUGCUGAAGUCAAAGGCAAGUUCUGGAAUUUUGGGGCUAGUUUGUCUCCUGAUGCUCAGGACUGGGCCUAUAACAUAUCUAAAGGAGCAACAAUCCUGUCUGUCCUAUUGGGUAGGGAGGGAUGCCUCAGUGUCAGGAUAAUAUAAGAAUGGAACUGUUGCUGGAGUUAUAUAGCUCAGUGGGAGGGUACCUGCUUGGCAUGUUCAAGGCCCUGGGCUUGACCCCCUACCUAGACCUUCAAGCAAAAUCAAACCAGCGAUAAUGAAAACUUUCCCCAUCAUGGGAAGCCUUUAAAGGGUUUACCUCAUUCAGUCUUUAUAACAACUCCGUAGGGUUGUUAUAUUCAUUUAUAAAUGAAUGAGACAAGUCAUUAGUUGAGUAAAUUAAUACUUUACAUAAAGGAUACUGUGAUUAAAUGGUGGGACCGUGGACUUGAACCCGGGAAGUCUAAUUCUUAAACAUAGACUCCUGUUUUUAUUUUGCUUUAUGUGCAUGAGUAUUUUGCCUGCAUGUCUGUGAACUGUGUGCAUGUCCGGUGCCUACAGAGGUCAGACAAGAACACUGGAUCCCCUGGAACUAGAGUUACAGAUGGUUGUGAGCUGCCAUUGCUGGGAAUUGAACUACGUCCUCGGUCCUCUGGAGGAAGAGCCAGUGCUCUUAAUCCCUGAACCAUCUCUCCAGCCCCAACAUGAGAUCUCUUUGUUGUUGCUGUCGUUGUUUGUUUUGAGUGACAAAAACUGUUUAGCUCUGGCCAGUCUCCAUUUGUGACUCUCUUCAGGCUGACUGGGGCUAGGAUGACUGCAUGAGGAGGGAGUGGGGACAAUGACUUCAAUGAAGAGCUAACUUGCUCCUCUCCAACCAAUGCAUUUUUUUUUCUCCAUGGAUUUUCUCUUUUAUUACGACCUUAUAAUCCGAGUCUUAAUCCAAGACUCGGAUUAUAAUCCACAUGGCAUUUUGUUAAAUAUUCAGCUUGAUGGAGAAUGUGUUGUGUAUAUGCAGAAAUUCACACUUUUAUUUGUAUGCAACUUUAGACCCAUUUAAUCCUUAAUCUGGUUUUCCCCAAAUAUUCACAAAACUUUGAACAACUAUAACACAAAACUUAAUGUGGCCAAUUAAAUUUUCCAAAUACAGACACAUUAUCUUAACAUGGUCUUUAAUCUUUUUACAUGUAUUUAUUUAAAUGUAAAAUGGGGGGAGGGGCACACAGGUGCCUGGUCAUGAACAUGCCGAGAUGUGCAUGUGGGGGUCAGAAGUCCUGUAGGGGUGGUUCUAUCCUUCCACCGUGUGGGUCAGAGGAUUGAACAAGUCGUCCAACUUAGAAGCAAGCACUUUACCUGCUGAUCUAUUUCUCUGGCCCUUAGACUUUCCUUUUUAUCUAUUUUAUUUUAUGUACGUGGAUGUUUUGCCUGAAACAUAUGUCCACACCCCUAGUGUGUGCAGUACUGGUAGAGGGUCGGAUCCCUUGGGACUGGAGGCAUAGACAGUUGUGAUCUGCGGUGUGGGUACUGGGAAAGCAGUCAAUGUUUUUAACCACUGAGAGUCAUCUCCAGCCCUCUGGACGUUUCCUCAAGCGCUGUGAAGUCACUGCCGUGUUCCUAAAGCAACAUCGUUCUUCGGAGGAUCAUCUUCAGCCCUCUGAACGGUUCCUCAAGCGCUGCGAAGUCACGGCAGUGUUCCUAAAGCAACAUCGUUUUCCCAUUUCUGUCCCUAGACUCAGGCUAGAUUGUCUCCUUUCUCAUGGCUGUGGGAGAGUGACCCAUCUGCUGCUGUGUCUGUCACAGAGACUCGGGUACAUGAGUGGUAGAGACAUUCUCAAUUCCAGUACAUGGCCACCCCAUUUGCACCCUUGUCAGAGCAGUAGUCUCAGUCACUGGUACCUUCUCAGUUCGGAUGGAAUUUAAUCCACCCCUCAUUUCCAUCUCACUACCAGAAAUUAUCUCUGUGCCUACAAGUGUGAACCCAAUGUUGUAUUUUUAGCACCUUUCAGAAAAGAACAGAACUCAGCCCUUUAUCUAGAACCAAUCACAUCCGUCAGUAGCUCCAAACAUCUCCAGCUCAGAAACUCCAAUAAAAAGAGAUAAGAUCUCUAAUGCAGUGAUAUAUCCAGGCAGGCAUAAAGAUGUUAAAAGAGACCGAGAGCAGGAUUUCCUCACCCGGACACUGUCGCUGUUUGGGGUAGAAUAACGCCUUGCGGUGGGUGCAUCCCAGAAUCCCUAGCAGCAUUCCUGGCCCACACUGUGAGAUGCCAUCAGUACCUCACUCUUGCCUCAAAUGCCACAUCCACAAUAUCUCCAGAUAUUGUCGAAUUGGAAGGACAAAAUCUUCUAGAUUGAAAACCAUUGGUAGUCACGCAGUAGCAAAAGCACACGCUGGGAGCGGUGAGUAAGGCUCAAGGAGAACGGCCCCGCUUUCCAUAGCACCCGAGAUGAUGAUAGACAGGUGGGCUAGAGGAGCCUGCUUAACAUGCAACAGCUGGAGACUGGUAGAGAGCCCGGAAGACAGCAAGGGCGGAAAAGCAUGAGGCCUCUGAGAUGUCCAAAUGUGCUGUUUUCCGGGAUGAAUGGGGAUUGGUGACUGUCAGUGAGUGAGUCUAGGAACUUUAUGUAAGUGGAGUGUGGUGGCACACUCCUGUAACGUCAGCACACAGCAGAUUGCCAUGAGUUUGAGGCCACCCUGGGCCACAUAACUAGUACCAGAGCUGCAUAACAUGACGGUGACUUGAAUUAGGACAUGUAUCACAAACGCUCAAGUAUUUGAAUGCUUGGUCCCCAGUUAGUGGAACCAUUUGGGGGAGGUUAUGGACCCUCAGGAGGUGGAGCCUUGCUGGAGGAAGCGCGUCACUAGAACAGACUUUGAGCGUCUGUAGCCUCACCAUUUCCAGUUCACUUUCUGCUUUGUGGCUGAAGACAUCUUCUCCUAGCUUCCAGCUUUGACUGCCAGCUCCCACAUCUCUGACGUUAUGGGCUCCCGGUCUGGAACUGUAAGCCAAGAUAAACUAUUUUUUCCCCCUAAGUUGCUUUUGGUCAUGGUAUUUUAUCACAGCAACAAAGUAACUAAUGCACUGAUCUUAUCUCAACAAAGAAGGGUACAAAACAAUUUUUACAGAUUUUUGUUUUGUUUUGCUGAUAUGGGAGGUUGGCCUCACACCCACUGUGUAACCUGAGGAUGCCCUUGGACGUAGGAUCCUCUCAUCUCUGGCUUCCUAGUGUUGGGGUACAGGCAUGCAUCACCACACCUGCUUUAGGUGGUGCUAGGGGUCAAACCCAGGGCUCUGUGAAUGCUAGGCAAACGUCCUACCAACUGAGCUGCACCCAGCCCUUUAAAUAUUUAUGUUAAGUGCUCCUGGGAAGGCAUGUGAAGACAACUGUGUUUUAGGUGUCAGUGAUUUGUAUAAACAUUCUGCUAUAUUAAGAUGUAUAAACUGGAGAACACAGUAUAUAGUUGAGGUCUAUUCUUACUUCAUCCCAGAAAACAGUGCCGUGAGUGACAACCCUGGGAAUCUGGUAUGUUGUCUGCUAACCUUUACGUUAUGCUGUUCUCACUAGUCUCUCUUGUAUUCCCAAGGCCUUUUUAAGGAAUGGAAGAUGACUCGAAGGAGGUGGUGGUGCUUAUUUCCUGAGGCAUGAAGACGCUCAGGCCUUACUGUAUGGUUACAAUGUUUUAAGACAUCCUAUCCUUAUAGACCGCGUUAAGCUGACGUCAGAUCAACCACCACAGCCCUGGAGUCUUCCUUUAGUUCGUUGGCAGAAACUGAGGCAGUGCAGCCUUGUGACAUGAAAUUCAUGUCAGUGUUUCUCAGAGCUCAAGUCUACUCAGCAGGUCUGAACUAAAGGCAUACUCCUCUGAAAGGUCACCACGGCUUUUUCUCUGAUUGUUUUUCUAAAGAUUCUUCACCUAAGGGCUGGGGAGAUGCCCUAAAGGAUAAAAUGCUUGCUCUGCAAGCCUAAUGACCUCAAUUCGGAUCCUCACAGUGCACAAAAUGGGGGUGAUGAUGGCACACACGUGUGAUCCCAGGGUUCCCAUGGCACUAUGGGAGGUGGAGACAGGGGGAUCCCAGAAGUUCAAGUGUCUGCUAGUCUGCUCGUACUCAGUGGUGGACAAGAGGCUAUCUCCAAUGAGGUGGCAAGUGAGGUCUGACUCCUGAAGUUGUCAGACCUGAAAGGUUUGGUUUUGAUCUGGUAUUUACCCUGCAGCAGCUUCGUUCUUAGUAUCUAAUAAACCCUGUCACCCCAGACUGUACCACGUUCAGUUAGUGUACAGCCAUGGAUUCCCGUUGGAUAUCAGGCCUGUCAUCGUCUACCUGCUUAACAAGUGAAUGAACUAGCACCGGCUAACACUCCCCUUCACCCCCACCCCCAUUCCGUCGUCCAUCAGCAGCUGGAGCUAGCCUGUAUGGUGGCCAUUUCCCCACAUCAGAUCCUAACUAGGCACAGCCUGGCCAUGCGCUGGCUGUCAUGUUUCUUUUACUUUCCCCAUUAAAUAUGUGCUUUAAUCCCACGGGACCAGACUCCUCCCUGAGCUUUAGUGAUUAAAUAUCAAAGGGAACCUAUACUCUCUUGAUAACGGCAAUGCUACUCAUAGCAGUUGAGAAAUGGAAACCUCCCAAGUGUUCAUCAACUGAUGGGUGCAGAAAAUGUGGUACAUAAAACAACGGAGUCCUACUCAGCCAUUGAAGGAGUGAAACCCUGUCAUGUUUGGCAAUGUGAAUGAAAGUGGAGGUCAUUACGUUAAACCAAACAAGCCAGGGUGGGUGUGGUGGCUCCCUAUGGUAGUAGCAAAGCUGGGGGGGUGGAGACAUGCAGACCCCUUGGGGUCCCUGGGCAGCCUUCCAAGCCUGUUGUCAAGUUCUAGGCCUGUGACAGCCACUGUACCCCCCAAACACAGUGAGUGUCGCCUGAGGAGUUACAGUGGUGGUUGCCCUUGGCUCUCUACACACACGUGUGAACACAUGCACAUAAACCUGCACGUACAAUAAAACAGAGCAAACGACUCAAGGACUGGGGCACUGGUAAAAUGGUGGCCUGCUUUGCUGCAGGUUGUCAUUUAUGUGCUCGUAAUAAAAUGGUUCGUCUUCAUUGUCAAGUU
Peromyscus californicus insignis is the source of this 8735-nucleotide RNA transcript. It is a transcript of the gene named C2 calcium dependent domain containing 5, with no coding region annotated. The transcript is spliced from 33 exons. The record is from RefSeq and is a predicted model, not a curated record. Lineage: Eukaryota; Metazoa; Chordata; Mammalia; Rodentia; Cricetidae.